Pongo abelii (Sumatran orangutan) is the source of this 247-nucleotide non-coding RNA. NCBI's taxonomy places the organism in Eukaryota, Metazoa, Chordata, Mammalia, Primates, Hominidae. The record is from Rfam.
GCUGGGCAUGGUGGUGAAUGCCUGUAGUUCCAGCUUCUUGGGGGACUGAGGUGGGAGGAUAGUUUGAGCACGGGUGGCCAAGGUUGUAGUGAGCCGUGAUCGCGCUACUGCACUCCAGCCUGGGCAACAGAGCGAGACUCCAUCUCAGAUAGUCUUGCUCUGUCCCGCCCGGGCUAGAGUGCAGUAGCGCGAUCACGGCUCACUACAACCUUGGCCACCCGUGCUCAAACUAUCCUCCCACCUCAGU